Molecule: microRNA, 22 nt
Filed under: Ornithorhynchus anatinus (platypus)
Lineage: Eukaryota; Metazoa; Chordata; Mammalia; Monotremata; Ornithorhynchidae
Description: Oan-Novel-12_5p (mature (guide))
Source: RNAcentral
AGGGAACAUGUCUGCUAAUUGU